Molecule: ribosomal RNA, 492 nt
Filed under: uncultured bacterium
Lineage: Bacteria
Description: partial 16S ribosomal RNA
Rfam family: Bacterial small subunit ribosomal RNA
Source: RNAcentral
AGUGAACGCUGGCGGUAGGCCUAACACAUGCAAGUCGAACGGCAGCACAGUAAGAGCUUGCUCUUACGGGUGGCGAGUGGCGGACGGGUGAGGAAUACAUCGGAAUCUACUUUUUCGUGGGGGAUAACGUAGGGAAACUUACGCUAAUACCGCAUACGACCUACGGGUGAAAGCAGGGGAUCUUCGGACCUUGCGCGAUUGAAUGAGCCGAUGUCGGAUUAGCUAGUUGGCGGGGUAAAGGCCCACCAAGGCGACGAUCCGUAGCUGGUCUGAGAGGAUGAUCAGCCACACUGGAACUGAGACACGGUCCAGACUCCUACGGGUGGCAGCAGUGGGGAAUAUUGGACAAUGGGCGCAAGCCUGAUCCAGCCAUACCGCGUGGGUGAAGAAGGCCUUCGGGUUGUAAAGCCCUUUUGUUGGGAAAGAAAAGCAGCAGGUUAAUACCCCGCUGUUCUGACGGUACCCAAAGAAUAAGCACCGGCUAACUCCGUG